Molecule: long non-coding RNA, 439 nt
Organism: Passer domesticus (house sparrow)
Lineage: Eukaryota; Metazoa; Chordata; Aves; Passeriformes; Passeridae
Exons: 4
Source: RefSeq, a predicted model, not a curated record
ACUGAGCGAUGCAGGUGGAACGCUGUCACUGCUGAGGGCUCCAGGAGAGCCCACAAACACACAGUUAACCCCCGGUUAAACCACUGGAGGGCAGGAUGGAAACAAAGGAAAGCUCUUUCCAAAACGGGGCUGCACCUGGUUCACAGAUUUUGUGUGCAGGACAUUUAUCUUCAGUAUUCUGCAGACCCACUUCUACUCAUUAUUACAGUGAAAUCUUGGCACAGAUAAUUAGAGGGUCCCCAGGCAGCUCAGUGUCUGUUCCAGUGUCCUGGCCCCGCUUUGAUGUGGGCUCAGCGCAGAGGUGCUCCUUUGUGCCCAGGACAGCUCCCAGGGAGGGGCUGAGGAGCGCUGAUCAAUCCUGAGGCGGAUGCCAGCCAAAAAGAGCAGCUGAUGAAAUGUUUGAUAACCGGAUCAGCUGCAGAGCCACCCCGGCCACCCC